UCCGGUUGAUCCUGCCGGUCCCGACCGCUAUCGGGGUGGGGCUAAGCCAUGGGAGUCGUACGCCCCGCCGCUGCGGGGCGUGGCGGACGGCUGAGUAACACGUGGCUAACCUACCCUCGGGAGGGGGAUAACACCGGGAAACUGGUGCUAAUCCCCCAUAGAGGAGGGGGCCUGGAAGGGUCCCUCCUCGAAAAGGUGUGGCGGGGGUUAACGCUGCCGCACCGCCCGAGGAUGGGGCUACGGCCCAUUAGGUAGUUGGCGGGGUAACGGCCCGCCAAGCCGAUAAUGGGUAGGGGCCGUGAGAGCGGGAGCCCCCAGAUGGGCACUGAGACAAGGGCCCAGGCCCUACGGGGCGCACCAGGCGCGAAACCUCCGCAAUGCGGGAAACCGUGACGGGGCCACCCCGAGUGCCCCCUUACGGGGGCUUUUCCCCGCUGUAGGAAGGCGGGGGAAUAAGCGGGGGGCAAGUCUGGUGUCAGCCGCCGCGGUAAUACCAGCCCCGCGAGUGGUCGGGACGAUUAUUGGGCCUAAAGCGCCCGUAGCCGGCUCGACAAGUCUCCUCCUAAAUCCUCGGGCUCAACCCGAGGAUUGGAGGAGAUACUGUCGAGCUAGGGGGUGGGAGAGUCCGAGGGUACUCCCGGGGUAGGGGCGAAAUCCUAUAAUCCCGGGAGGACCACCAGUGGCGAAGGCGCUCGGCUGGAACACGCCCGACGGUGAGGGGCGAAAGCCGGGGGAGCGAACCGGAUUAGAUACCCGGGUAGUCCCGGCUGUAAACGAUGCGGGCUAGGUGUUGGGUGGGCCUAGAGCCCACCCAGUGCCGCAGGGAAGCCGUUAAGCCCGCCGCCUGGGGAGUACGGCCGCAAGGCUGAAACUCAAAGGAAUUGGCGGGGGAGCACCACAAGGGGUGGAGCCUGCGGUUCAAUUGGAGUCAACGCCGGA
RNAcentral lists this ribosomal RNA (939 nucleotides) under uncultured archaeon. RNAcentral describes it as "bacterial SSU rRNA". It matches the Rfam family "Archaeal small subunit ribosomal RNA", at positions 1 to 922 of the family's 1478-position model. The record is from RNAcentral.